Molecule: ribosomal RNA, 369 nt
Filed under: uncultured cyanobacterium
Lineage: Bacteria; Bacillati; Cyanobacteriota
Description: bacterial SSU rRNA
Rfam family: Bacterial small subunit ribosomal RNA
Source: RNAcentral
GAGGUUUUUGGAUCGUAAACCCCUUUUGUCAAGGAAGAAGCUCUGACGGUACUUGACGAAUAAGCCUCGGCUAACUCCGUGCCAGCAGCCGCGGUAAUACGGAGGAGGCAAGCGUUAUCCGGAAUGAUUGGGCGUAAAGCGUCUGUAGGUGGCCAGCUAAGUCUGCUGUUAAAGAUCACAGCUCAACUGUGGGAAGGCAGUGGAAACUGGCAAGCUAGAGGUUGGUAGGGGUAAAGGGAAUUCCCGGUGUAGCGGUGAAAUGCGUAGAUAUCGGGAAGAACACCGGUGGCGAAAGCGCUUUACUGGGCCAGACCUGACACUGAAGGACGAAAGCUAGGGGAGCGAAAGGGAUUAGAUACCCCUGUAGUC